This 234-nucleotide unclassified non-coding RNA is filed under the name plant metagenome. Its description in RNAcentral is "partial contains small subunit ribosomal RNA, internal transcribed spacer 1, and 5.8S ribosomal RNA". The record is from RNAcentral.
UUUCCGUAGGUGAACCUGCGGAAGGAUCAUUACAGUAGUCGCCUGGGUUGCCGCAAGGCCUCCCGGGUAACCUACCACCCUUUGUUUAUUACACUUUGCUGCUUUGGCAGGCCUGCCCCCGGGCUGCUGGCUCCGGCCGGCGAGCGCUUGCCAGAGGACCUAAACUCUGUUUGUCUAUACUGUCUGAGUACUAUAUAAUAGUUAAAACUUUCAACAACGGAUCUCUUGGUUCUG